Molecule: long non-coding RNA, 123 nt
Organism: Rhagoletis zephyria (snowberry fruit fly)
Lineage: Eukaryota; Metazoa; Arthropoda; Insecta; Diptera; Tephritidae
Source: RefSeq, a predicted model, not a curated record
UUUCUCAGAAAUUUGACAACAAAACAAAACAAAGCAAGAUAUGUCGAGCCAACAAAGAAGGCACAGUUGGAAAAUUUAGUAAUUAGUAUUGAAGUAGCUGGCAUAUUUGGAAAAUUAUGCCGA